Long non-coding RNA from Magnolia sinica, 3007 nucleotides. RefSeq lists it as uncharacterized. The record is from RefSeq and is a predicted model, not a curated record. The transcript has 2 exons. NCBI's taxonomy places the organism in Eukaryota, Viridiplantae, Streptophyta, Magnoliopsida, Magnoliales, Magnoliaceae.
AUUUAAGCAUCAAUGCUCCUUCCUUCUUGGAGAAUUGGUUAGUCGAGCUAUGCUGCUCCUGCUUCUUAGCAUGGGUCUUCUUUGAGAAUAUUUUUUCAAUGCAUUCAGUCACUGCUGUCUAGGUUGUGUUUUUAGGUCACAUGUGGAAGUUGAAUGUAGACACAUCACAAAUAGAUGGAAGACAAGCAUGUUAUAUAUUUCUGUGCAUAUAGUGCCUCAAAACAAGAUUUAGGAAAAUUAUCCAAAUCCAAUGCACCAAAAGCAACACACUUUUUAUUCUUUACCUAGAAACCUCUGAAAAAAAUAUAAAAAUAAAAAAAUCAAGAGAACACUUUUAUAGUCAUAUGAGAUUAGUUUGAUUGAUCUCUUCCAAUUUCACUACUAUACUUUUUUUAUCAUCAAUUUCGCCAUUUUUUUUGAACGAUGUGGACACAAAUUUAUUGAGAGGAAGGAUGCAGCCAGAAUAUGCAAACAAGAAAAAAGAAACCAUACAACAAAACCCAAGAGCCAUUAUAGCUCAUCGCAGCUGGCAGGAAAAUGAUCAACAGCCUUCAAGGUCAACGCCCAUCAAUUUCACCACUACCCUCAUAAUUUCUAAAAAUAAAAAUAAAAAGCUCUCAUAUGUCAAUUUUUACCACCACAACAUUUUGGAAUGUCUGAUAAGCUAUCACUUGAUGUCAUUGGAUGUUUAAAUGAAAGCUGAAGGAUGAGGAGAUGGUCUGUAGAAUGUCGUUGGUAGAAAAGAUGAAGCAUAUAUCCCAUAGCAUGGCAUUGAUAAAAGAAUCUGGACUUUGAAUCAUCAACUUCCCUUUAUAACCUAGCCAGUCUUUCCAUAUUCGCAAUUUUACUGGAGAGGGUACCCCACCCAGAGUAAGAAUUUUGGUCAUCCUGUUCGGCCCAAGUUUCGGCUUUUUGUUGGUUGUGGAUGCACAAGAUUUUAACUUGUGACCAUAAGAAGAUAGUGGAGCCGGGGAAUCGGUUUAUUCCUUAUCCAUUGCUUGAGGGCAAGUUGCAUUUGGGAUUACUUCUUGAAUUUCGUUGGUAUUUAUUGGGUUUUCUAUGACAUUCAUUAGUACUUUUCAGUAGUUGGCCAAGUGGUCCCUUGGUGAAAGGGGAAGGUUCUUAGGAGAAUGUUACCAUGAGCUAUCAUAUUAAUCUCCUAUAUUGACUAUGCCACCUCCUUUUGUUGGAUUACACAAUCGGUUCAAAUAGAUUGGAAAUAGUACAUGAGUAGGAUGCGAUCCUGAGUCUCUCCCCUCUUGAAGAGGCGUGCCCUAAUUAACUCAAUCAGUAAGCGGUAUCUGACCAUGAUGCUUUGCAUGCUUGCAGAUUUAUAUGUAUUCUUGGUGUUUACAUGAAUUUUGGUUGAUUGAUAUUGAUGUGAUUUCCACAGACAUUCAUGGAACAUUGCCAGGGCAUAAAGAAAAGGGUAUGCCCUGUCGAAAGUCUUUUAUUGAUUUGGGAUCAUGACACAUUCCCGGCUGUGGUCUAGCACAAUGUUUGAUUAUAUUUAUCCCUUGAUUCUAAGGUAGAUCCCAUAGAGAUACAGUCAGUCUACAUGGUAGAAAAGAAAGUAAACCGAAUGCAAAUGAUGCACACUCUCACAAUCACGAUCCUUUGUAUUCAGAGUAUCUGGAACAUUGAUCACGAGCGGGGGUGAGUGUGGGGCUCAAUAUCAGCUUAGCUACAUGAGCUUUGGUGAGCACAUUUUCAAUAUGAUGCCUUUGAGGCAGUGGGUGCAGCUUAGCGUUGGUCACUAUGCUGCUGUCUAAGUGAGCAAAAGACUAGACGAGCUCCUCCAAAGUCAGAGCGUAGGGGCCUCUCACCUGUGCGUGCUGAGGCAUGGGAAGGAGAAAGGCAGGAUGAGAAUGAAAACUUGAAGAAUUUCGGGGAAUGCUCCAAGGGAGAAAGAAUGCUAGUGUUCGAAAUGAGAGGCCUGAUGGGGUAUUUAUAGGCAAGGAUUGACGGGUAUUGCCAGCUGGCAUGUUCAAAGAGGCAAGAGUGGACAUGUGUUGCAAUCUGAUUUGACGACUUAAUCACUCCGCACCUCUUUAUGAUUGUGCGCCUAGCUCAGAAUGCUGGCUGCACUCACCCUUGGAGAACUGCCCCGAGCUAUGGAACAUGAACCAAACUAGAGCAAAGGCGGGCCCUAGGCAUUAUUGAUGCCCAGCGCCCAUGUGCCAAUCAUCACGUGAAGGGCACAAGCAUGCCAGGGUAGGGCGCGCUGAUAACAAGUCAAUCAUAAGUGCGCAUCAGGCAAAAACGGUGCCAAUGCUCAAGCAGAGCUAAGCCUAGGGCACCAGCUCUGCCACUUCAUAGAUGGGCACGGGCGGUUUUGGAAUGGCCAAGGGUCCCCCUUUAUUCCUCAGCAUAAGGGCAAUGUUACUUUGAGAUAAGCAGCAGGGUAACCGAUACCAGAAUAGUUAAAUGCAAAGCUGGACAAACUAAAACAAGGUAAGUCCUGGUGCUGUCCAUGUUUCUCAGCAGUGUUAGUCAAAGAAGAGCUAGACACACACAUUAUGUGUUUAGUUGUGUAUGCACCUUGCCUGGGCCCCAAGUCAGGCGGCAGCCAUGGCCAUGAGUCUCCCUGGGCCCAAAUCACUUAGGCAUAUGCCUGGAUGCAGCCUGAUAAAAAGACGAAGGGUGCCCCUACUGGCACCUCAAAUAAGGUGUAUUUUUUGACACUGCAACACCUGUUAAUGGUGUAAAUACUUAAGGGGGAUCAUAUACCUCCUUCAAAACAACUUUUCCUUUUUGUUUGGAUCAAAUUUUGAGGGAAAUACUUCCCCAAAAUUCGUUAGAGUUUUGUAAACUCAUAAAAUCUUUUUCUUCUUGAUUUCUUUCUUUUAUCCAUGUUAUAAAUAAAUCAGGCUUAUUAAAGCAAUCCGAGCUUCCAUUGGUGCUGUACAAUAGAUCGAAGAUGAAGCAUUUGAGCUUCCAUUGGACUUCUUGGAAGAAAUUUACUUUUGAUUUUGACAAUAUUUGAAUGGCCAUCUCUUUCUCUCUC